RNAcentral lists this ribosomal RNA (400 nucleotides) under Chlamydomonas raudensis. RNAcentral describes it as "partial small subunit ribosomal RNA". It matches the Rfam family "Eukaryotic small subunit ribosomal RNA", at positions 30 to 432 of the family's 1831-position model. The record is from RNAcentral. Lineage: Eukaryota; Viridiplantae; Chlorophyta; Chlorophyceae; Chlamydomonadales; Chlamydomonadaceae.
GCUUGUCUCAAAGAUUAAGCCAUGCAUGUCUAAGUAUAGUACCUUAUACUGCGAAACUGCGAAUGGCUCAUUAAAUCAGUUAUAAUUCAUUUGAUGGUACUUACUACUCGGAUAACCGUAGUAAUUCUAGAGCUAAUACGUGCGUAAAUCCCGACUUCUGGAAGGGACGUAUUUAUUAGAUAAAAGGCCAGCCGGGUUUCGGCCCGUUCUUUGGCGACUCAUGAUAACUUCACGAAUCGCAUGGCCUUGUGCCGGCGAUGUUUCAAUCAAAUAUCUGCCCUAUCAACUGUCGACUGUGAUAUAGACGCUCACAGUGGUUUUGACGGGUAACGGGGAAUCAGGGUUCGAUUCCGGAGAGGGAGCCUUAAAAACGGCUACCACAUCCAAGGAAGGCAGCAGG